Drosophila novamexicana is the source of this 1230-nucleotide long non-coding RNA. RefSeq lists it as uncharacterized. Lineage: Eukaryota; Metazoa; Arthropoda; Insecta; Diptera; Drosophilidae. The record is from RefSeq and is a predicted model, not a curated record. The transcript has 3 exons.
CGCAGGUGACAGCUGAACUCCGUUUAGCUUUGAUCCGUGUCAUACGAAUAGUGAAAUCUAACUGUUAUCAGCAGCAUCAUCAUUAUAAUAAACAAACCUAAUUGUUAUUAUUGAAAUUGCAACAGCCAUUGCCUGCAUUUGAGUGGUCGCGUGUAUUCGAACCAGCGACCAGCGCGAAAAGGACUCAAUUGCUGUGGGCAAAAUUGUACGUUGAUUUGUUGACAAGCUCUCAGGAUAUGCGGCAUUAUCCUGCCAGAAGAAAAACAUAAACAAAAGCCUCUUGCUGUACACUCGUCACCAUUUGGUUUGUGUCUGUGUCCUCACGUUGCGGUCUCUACGACAAUCCUGGCAAGCAUAUCCUGACCCCUGACCUCGCGCCCCUCUCCGGUUCGGUGUGUAGUUUAUGCGGUUUCUCCCUCCACCCUGCCCUGUGUGUUUUGUGUGUGCCGCUGCUGAUCGAAAGCGGCCGCCUUUGUUGCAUGGCAACACUUGGCUAAUCGAUGAGGUGCCGAAAAAAGGACACACACACACACACACGAGCGCCCAGUAAAACAAGGAUAACACAAGGAUAAUGACCCAAACCGAUUUGCUUACAAAUUGAAACCAUGCAAAACUAAAUUGCAAACUGCAAAAAUGUGAACAGCCACUGGUGAAAGGAGCCAAAGCAGCAAAAGAAAACCGAAACGAAUACAGAAUAAAACCAAAUAAUACAUAAUAAUAAUAAUAAUAAGAACGAAUAUUCCCCCAGUUGGCCACUGGCCAGUGAAUGCAGCGCCAAAGACUGUAUCCGCAAUAAUGUGAGGCAAUAAAAAACUAGUAACAGUCUAGUUGAGGGGGAGACAGCAAUAGCAACAGCAAAAGCAACAAUCAAACGGGCCACUGGGCGUAUGAUUAACAUUGAUAAUCGGCAAAGAAUUUUCAUUAUUUGCGCCGAGCGCCAUGGAACGUGAGAAUUUGAAACGUGAAAUGUGCCGAAGGCGUGAUGUUAUUACUAAUAAAUGCAUUAAAUAUGCUCAAACUACAACAACAACAACUGCAGCAACUACAACAACAACAGCAACAACAACGCCGCUAACGGCAAAUGGAACAACAACCACUGGGCCAAUACUGGAAGUGGCGCUUAGCAGCCCAACCACAAAGCCAUUAACGGAUAUGCAACAAAACCACCUGCUAAAGAUGCCAACUAAAACAGCAACAACAGCAACAGCGACAACGACAGCAACCAAAACA